RNAcentral lists this long non-coding RNA (837 nucleotides) under Nicotiana benthamiana. RNAcentral's name for it is "long non-coding RNA (NBEN_LNC003650)". Lineage: Eukaryota; Viridiplantae; Streptophyta; Magnoliopsida; Solanales; Solanaceae. The record is from RNAcentral.
UGAAGGAAACAGGAAGUUCCAAUAAAUAGAACAAUACAGUGCAACUGUUUCACUAACUUGUGGACAGAAAUAAAAUUGUGUUUGAAAGAGGGAACAAACAAUACAUUAUGAAGAGUAAUGGAAGGAGUUAAAGCAAAAGAGCCAGUUGAAGUUACUUUUACUUUGGAAACAAACAGUACAUUAUGAACAGUAAUGGAAGGAGUUAAAGCAAUAGAGCCAGUUGAAGUUACUUUUACUUUGUAUCCAUUAGGAAGAGUGACAAGAUAAGGUACAGGUAAAGGUGUGAUAUUGAAGAGUAAUUGUUUAUUAGAUGUCAUGUGGUCAGAAGCUCCAGAAUCUAUUAUCUAGGAGACAGAAGCAAUAUGAGUAAGCAAGCAGAGUUUGGAAUUAGAAACAGGACUCUCAGUAAGCAUAAUACCAGCAAAGUUGGCAGCACACAUAGUAGGGGAGGUCUGAGCGGGAGAAGUCUGAGCAGUGGAGUCACCCAAAUUGGACUGUUGGAACAGAUUCAUCAACUGAUCAUAAUGGUGUCUGCUCAACCCAGGAAUAGCAGAACUAUGUCCAUCCACAUGCUGAACAGGUGAAUAACCCUCAGUAUGAAGUCCAGAAGCAGGAGAAUUGUGGCCAUCAGAAGAAGGAGAGGAUGUGAAGUCAACACCAGUGGUGACAUGAACAGCAGUGGGUCUCUUGCCUUUGUUAACCUGAUGCUUUGAGGAAAACCAUGAAGUUUGUAGCACUUAUCAAUUAAGUGCCCAGACUUCUUGCAAUAUCUACAUAAGAGGGGUCCUCUGGACUGAUCAAAAGUGACUUUCUGGGCAUACUGUCUGGGAGGAGGAG